AUGCAUCAAUAGCUAGUUCAUUCUGACCACAACGAACAAAUGUGCAAAUUAACAGACGGUACGUGACUGUUGUUCCAACUUGACCAUCAUACUGCAAAAUUUUCCAAAUCUUCUGUGCCUGAUCCCAGUUGUUUGCUUUUGCAAAGAUGGAUAUCAUUGUGUUGUAUACAAUAAUAUCAAUUUGUUCUCUAAGAUUUCUACUGCUUAUCAAUUCACGGAACAUGUUUAUUGCUCUGUCAUAACCCCGAGCAUCAGCAACUGCCUUCAGAAUUAAGCUAUAAGUGUGGCCGGUUGUCAGCCCACUAG
This 306-nucleotide unclassified non-coding RNA is filed under the name Hevea brasiliensis (rubber tree). Lineage: Eukaryota; Viridiplantae; Streptophyta; Magnoliopsida; Malpighiales; Euphorbiaceae. The record is from RNAcentral.